Molecule: long non-coding RNA, 1208 nt
Organism: Spinacia oleracea (spinach)
Lineage: Eukaryota; Viridiplantae; Streptophyta; Magnoliopsida; Caryophyllales; Amaranthaceae
Exons: 2
Source: RefSeq, a predicted model, not a curated record
UUGACAUAAGCGAAGAACAGAAAAUCAAGAUUUGAAUGCUUUGCUUUGUUGCACACAAUGAUCCUCUUAUUAGAAGUAGGAGAUUUUAACCAAAUUUACAUGUUUGAAUCCAAAUGUUAAGGUACCAACUUAAUUGGAUGCGUUACACUGCUUUAGGAGGUACACAUAUGAGUUUUAAUUAUAAAUAAAUAUGCAGUAAUUCUUGUACGGGCGACAAGAUGAUCACUUUAUCUGAGUGUGCUAUAAGUUGAGUAGCAAGGAUGAAGUUAAGAAAUGGAGGAAGUAGUUCCUCCGUCUCAUACUGGUGUUCUAACUCCCCUUGAAGCUUUUUAAGAAAGAUGUUCAUAAUGUCACUCUUUAGUCUUUUCUGGUUUAAACAAUUUUCCCCCAAAUACCCUACCUAAAGGAUCAUAUUUGUCCCCACUUAAGAGCAAAUCUAUAAUCAACUGUAAAUCCAAUUACAAUUUUCUUCGAUCUUUCAAAGUCCUUAACAAAUAUUUAUUCUUCUCAUUGCCUACUCAAAAAUUGUCUUCCGUGUGUAUGUUCUUAAUUUUGAUUUUGAUUUUAAUUUUAAGGGGUUGGUUGAAUUUAUGAUUGAGAAUUUAGGUUAGGGGAUGGAAUUGCAAAAUAAAACUGAUGAAGACAUUAAUUUGAGGAAGAUCAAGUCUUUUAUGAAUUUUCUGUGUUGGGGAAACCUCUCACACUGGAGAACUAUUGGAAAAACACAAUUUAAGGAUUUUUAGUUUUGCGGAACUAAAGAAUGCUACAAAGAAUUUCAAGGCUGAAACACUUCUAGGCAAAGGAGGAUUUGGGAGGGUGUACAAGGGUUGGAUCGAUGAGAAGGCUAAUGUGUAUUCUAAGAGUGGGGUUAAAAUUGCGGUGGCGAUUAAGAAGUUGAACUCUAAGAGUAUGCAGGGUUUUGAAGAAUGGCAGCCUCUUGUGAUUGUAUACAUCAGUCAUUAGGAGUUUUAGAUGCUUCCGUUGGGAAUCAGCAAGCAGCCAAGCAUUGUUGUUGAGGGCAGAGAGUAGCGCGUAAGACAAACCGUUAGGUUGUGUUAAUGCUUCAAUGUUAUAAUCUUAUAUUUUAUUCAAAUCAUUCAAUAAUUGUGUUUUAGAUAACCAUUAUUCAAUUGUAAAAGGUUUAAGAGGUGUAGGACUUCUAUGCCAAAUACUCCGUAGAAAUUAAAGGUAGUGUUGUACUUGUAGUU